Molecule: non-coding RNA, 73 nt
Organism: Megalops atlanticus (tarpon)
Lineage: Eukaryota; Metazoa; Chordata; Actinopteri; Elopiformes; Megalopidae
Source: the annotation of a GenBank genome assembly
GGCAGUGUAGCAUAGUGGUAGGGAGCAUGACUCAUAACCAGAAGGUUGCUGGUUCGAUUCCCUGCUGGGGCAA